UAAUCGCAGAUCAGCAUGCUGUGGUGAAUACGUUCCCGGGCCUUGUACACACCGCCCGUCACACCAUGGGAGUCGGUAACACCCAAAGUUGGUAGUCUAACCGCAAGGAGGACGCCGCCUAAGGUGGGAUUGAUGACUGGGGUGAAGUCGUAACAAGGUACC
This 162-nucleotide ribosomal RNA is filed under the name uncultured bacterium. Its description in RNAcentral is "partial 16S ribosomal RNA". It matches the Rfam family "Bacterial small subunit ribosomal RNA", at positions 1339 to 1500 of the family's 1533-position model. The record is from RNAcentral.